GACGUGGCAGAGCUAAUAAAAAUUUUCCCUCAACAUUUGAAGAUAUAAGAAUAGAUUAGAAAAUAUAAAUAUGGUUGGUUAUGUAUGAUGGUAGCGGUGAUGAUGGUGGUGAUUAUGAUGAUGAUGGUAGUGAUGAUGAGUGGUGCCAGUGAAGAUGAUGGUGGUGGCGGUGAUGAUGGUGGUGAUUAUGAUGAUGAUGGUAGUGAUGAGUGGUGCCAGUGAAGAUGAUGGUGGUGGUGAUGAUGAUGGUGGUGAAGAUGUUGGUGGUGGUGAAGAUGUUGGUGGUGGUGAAGAUGUUGGUGGUGGUGAUGAUGGCGAGUGGUGGUGAAGAUGAUGAUGGUGGUGAAGAUGGUGAGUGGUGAAGAUGUUGGUGGUGGUGAAGAUGAUGGUGGUAAAGAUGUUGGUGGUGAAGAUGUUGGUGGUGAAGAUGUUGGUGGUGGUGAUGAUGGCGAGUGGUGGUGAUGAUGGCGAGUGGUGGUGAAGAUGAUGAUGGUGAAGAUGGUGAGUGGUGAAGAUGCUGGUGGUGGUGAAGAUGUUGGUGGUGGUGAAGAUGUUGGUGGUGGUGAUGGCGAGUGGUGGUGAAGAUGAUGAUGGUGGUGACGAUGGUGAGUGGUGAAGAUGUUGGUGGUGGUGAAGAUGUUGGUGGUGGUGAUGGUGGUGAUGAUGGCGGGUGGUGGUGAAGAUGAUGUUGGUGGUGAUGGUGAUAAUGGC
Molecule: non-coding RNA, 711 nt
Organism: Paramuricea clavata
Lineage: Eukaryota; Metazoa; Cnidaria; Anthozoa; Malacalcyonacea; Plexauridae
Source: the annotation of a GenBank genome assembly